RNAcentral lists this ribosomal RNA (433 nucleotides) under uncultured bacterium. RNAcentral's name for it is "partial 16S ribosomal RNA". It matches the Rfam family "Bacterial small subunit ribosomal RNA", at positions 30 to 507 of the family's 1533-position model. The record is from RNAcentral.
AGCGAACGCUGGCGGCAUGCUUAACACAUGCAAGUCGCACGGGCAGCAAUGUCAGUGGCGGCCGGGUGAGUAACGCGUAGGAACGUGUCCUGAGGUGGGGGACAACCCCGGGAAACUGGGGCUAAUACCGCAUAUGGGCUGAGGCCCAAAGCCGAGAGGCGCCUUUGGAGCGGCCUGCGUCCGAUUAGGUAGUUGGUGGGGUAAAGGCCUACCAAGCCUGCGAUCGGUAGCUGGUCUGAGAGGACGACCAGCCACACUGGGACUGGGACACGGCCCAGACUCCUACGGGAGGCAGCAGUGGGGAAUAUUGGACAAUGGGCGAAAGCCUGAUCCAGCAAUGCCGCGUGGGUGAAGAAGGUCUUCGGAUCGUAAAGCCCUUUCGACGGCGACGAUGAUGACGGUACCCGUAGAAGAAGCCCCGGCUAACUUCGUG